This 40-nucleotide ribosomal RNA is filed under the name Phytophthora cinnamomi. RNAcentral's name for it is "partial 28S ribosomal RNA". Lineage: Eukaryota; Oomycota; Peronosporomycetes; Peronosporales; Peronosporaceae. The record is from RNAcentral.
UUGGACCUGAUAUCAGGCAAGAUUACCCGCUGAACUUAAC